This is a long non-coding RNA of Eriocheir sinensis (Chinese mitten crab), 876 nucleotides long. RefSeq lists it as uncharacterized. Lineage: Eukaryota; Metazoa; Arthropoda; Malacostraca; Decapoda; Varunidae. The transcript is spliced from 3 exons. The record is from RefSeq and is a predicted model, not a curated record.
GAAGAAAAGAAGAAGAAGAGGAGGAGGAGGAGGAGGAGGAGGAGGAGGAGGGAGGAGGAUAAAUUAGCAAGGUACAGAAAGACGAGGAGGAGGAAGAAGAAGAAGAAGAAGAAGAAGAAGAAGAAGAAGAAGACUAACUAUAUCAUCAACUCAUUAACAAACAACAAAAACAACAACAAGUGGAUAUAAUUACUUAAGGCAGAAAUAAUUAAACAUAUCGUCUAAUUACACCAACAGGUAAGAUUAUAUAAAAAAAAUAACAUAAUCCCAUAACAAACUCGUAAAUAACCCUUAACAAAACUCUAUCUAACCCCACACCAGGUAGAGGUAUACAGGUGUGCUAAUUACAUAGUGUUAGGUAAGAUUAUAUUAGGUUAUUAGAUUAGAUACAGGUAAGAUUAUAUCAAACAAGAACAAAAUCACUUAACAAACUCGUAAAUAACCCUUAACAAAACUCUAUCUAACCCCACACCAGGUAGAGGUAUACAGGUGUGCUAAUUGCAGUCUUAGCUACAGGUAAGAUCGUGAUAUAUCAACAACAAAAUCACUUAACAAACUCGUAAAUAACCCUUAACAAAACUCUAUCUAACCCCACACCAGGUAUAAGUAGACAGGUGUGCUAAUUGCAGUCUUAGCUACAGGUAAGAUCGUAAUAUAUCAACAACAAAAUCACUUAACAAACUCGUAAUUCAUCCUUAACAAAACUCUAUCUAACCCCACACCAGGUAGAGGUAUACAGGUGUGCUAAUUGCAGUCUUAGCUACAGGUAAGAUCGUGAUAUAUCAACAACAAAAUCACAUAACAAACUCGUAAAUAACCCUUAACAAACCUCUAUCUAACCCCACACCAGGUAGAGGUAUACAGGUGUGCUAAUUA